This 699-nucleotide ribosomal RNA is filed under the name Alternaria sp. RNAcentral describes it as "partial large subunit ribosomal RNA". It matches the Rfam family "Eukaryotic large subunit ribosomal RNA", at positions 151 to 869 of the family's 3401-position model. Lineage: Eukaryota; Fungi; Ascomycota; Dothideomycetes; Pleosporales; Pleosporaceae. The record is from RNAcentral.
GCAGAGGGCGCUUUGGCUUUGGCAGCGGUCCAAGUUCCUUGGAACAGGACGUCACAGAGGGUGAGAAUCCCGUACGUGGUCGCUGGCUAUUGCCGUGUAAAGCCCCUUCGACGAGUCGAGUUGUUUGGGAAUGCAGCUCUAAAUGGGAGGUACAUUUCUUCUAAAGCUAAAUAUUGGCCAGAGACCGAUAGCGCACAAGUAGAGUGAUCGAAAGAUGAAAAGCACUUUGGAAAGAGAGUCAAACAGCACGUGAAAUUGUUGAAAGGGAAGCGCUUGCAGCCAGACUUGCUUACAGUUGCUCAUCCGGGUUUUUACCCGGUGCACUCUUCUGUAGGCAGGCCAGCAUCAGUUUGGGCGGUAGGAUAAAGGUCUCUGUCACGUACCUCCUUUCGGGGAGGCCUUAUAGGGGAGACGACAUACUACCAGCCUGGACUGAGGUCCGCGCAUCUGCUAGGAUGCUGGCGUAAUGGCUGUAAGCGGCCCGUCUUGAAACACGGACCAAGGAGUCUAACAUCUAUGCGAGUGUUUGGGUGUCAAGCCCGAGCGCGUAAUGAAAGUGAACGGAGGUGGGAACCCGCAAGGGUGCACCAUCGACCGAUCCUGAUGUCUUCGGAAGGAUUUGAGUAAGAGCAUGGCUGUUGGGACCCGAAAGAUGGUGAACUAUGCUUGAAUAGGGUGAAGCCAGAGGAAACUCUGGUG